RNAcentral lists this transfer RNA (72 nucleotides) under bacterium. Its description in RNAcentral is "tRNA-Thr". It matches the Rfam family "tRNA". From Rfam's summary of the family: Transfer RNA (tRNA) molecules are approximately 80 nucleotides in length. RNAcentral also lists the same sequence under 1 other name. The record is from RNAcentral.
GCCGACAUAGCUCAGUGGUAGAGCAGGGGUUUUGUAAACCUCAGGUCGCCCGUUCAAAUCGGGCUGUCGGCU